UACGUAGGGUGCGAGCGUUGUCCGGAAUUACUGGGCGUAAAGAGCUCGUAGGUGGUUUGUCGCGUUGUCCGUGAAAACUCACAGCUCAACUGUGGGCGUGCGGGCGAUACGGGCAGACUGGAGUACUGCAGGGGAGACUGGAAUUCCUGGUGUAGCGGUGGAAUGCGCAGAUAUCAGGAGGAACACCGGUGGCGAAGGCGGGUCUCUGGGCAGUAACUGACGCUGGAGGAGCGAAAGCGUGGGGAGCGAACAGG
RNAcentral lists this ribosomal RNA (254 nucleotides) under uncultured bacterium. RNAcentral's name for it is "partial 16S ribosomal RNA". It matches the Rfam family "Bacterial small subunit ribosomal RNA", at positions 524 to 776 of the family's 1533-position model. The record is from RNAcentral.